Molecule: RNA transcript, 1851 nt
Organism: Olea europaea var. sylvestris
Lineage: Eukaryota; Viridiplantae; Streptophyta; Magnoliopsida; Lamiales; Oleaceae
Gene name: carboxyl-terminal-processing peptidase 1, chloroplastic
Exons: 12
Source: RefSeq, a predicted model, not a curated record
AUAACGUUUAUAUUGCCACGGUAACGGGCUGCCGGAACCGGAAGUGAAAAUAUGAAGCUUCUUCUUUACAAUGCCUCCUUAUCGCCUCCGCCUCCGCCAAAGCCUCUAUUAAUUGCUUUCUGUCAUCAGCUCAAAACCCUAACCUUCUCCUCCGACUCAAAUUCUUCACGAGAAAUACGAAAGCUCGCCCAAGUUUUGAGUACGGCAGGAGUCUCAAUCGCGCUCUCCUUGGGGCUCGUAUUUUCGUCUCCUUCCAAUUCAACCGCACUGGACUCAUUUCCGUUGAUUUCAUCAUCCUCUAUCUCUCUCACAGAACUGAAUUCUGUGAAACGGGAAUCGUAUUGCCGUGAAGAAGAUGUGGCGGAUCCUGAUUUGACGGCGCCCGUACCGGAAGAAAUGACCAAUGAGGAGAUAGUGGAGGAGGCUUGGCAGAUUGUUAACGAUAGCUUUCUUGACACCGGUCGCCACCGCUGGUCUCGUGAUACCUGGCUUAAAAAGAAGGAAGAUAUACUAAGUACCUCGAUUCAGACAAGAUCGAAAGCUCAUGAGAUCAUCCGCCGAAUGUUAGCGAGCUUGGGCGACCCGUAUACUCGUUUUCUUUCUCCUUCCGAGUUCUCCAAGAUGGCAAGGUAUGAUAUGACUGGAAUUGGGAUAAACAUCAGGGAGAUCCCAGAUGAUAAUGGAGCUAUGAAACUGAAGGUUUUAGGGCUCAUUUUGGAUGGCCCUGCCCACUCUGCUGGUGUCAGACAGGGUGAUGAAUUGCUGUCUGUUAAUGGUGUGGACCUGAAGGGAAAAUCUGCCUUUGAAGCUUCAUCACUGUUACAAGGACCCAGUGAAACAUUUGUCAACAUCACGGUCAAGCAUGGGAACUGUGGACCUAUUCAAUCCAUUAUGGUACAAAGGCAAUCUAUUGCAAAGACCCCAGUUUUUUACCGAUUGGAGCAGGUUAAAAAUGGUCCCAGUUCGGUUGGUUAUGUGCGCCUAAAAGAAUUCAAUGCAUUGGCCAGAAAGGAUUUGGUUACAGCAAUGAAGCGACUCCAAGACAUGGGUGCCUCUUUUCUUGUUCUUGAUCUUAGAGAUAACCUUGGUGGACUAGUACAGGCUGGUAUUGAAAUCGCUAAGCUCUUUCUGAGUAAAGGGGAAACUGUGACUUACACUGUUGGCAGGGAUCCACAGUAUAUGAAGAACAUAGUUUCCGACACUUCACCUCUUUUUACUGCUCCUGUCAUUGUUUUGGUGAACAAAAAUACUGCUAGUGCAAGUGAAAUUGUGAGCAGUUGCCACUGCACUUCAUGAUAACUGCAGAGCUGUUCUUGUAGGGGAGAAGACAUACGGAAAGGGUUUGAUUCAAUCAGUGUUUGAGCUUCAUGAUGGAUCCGGCGUGGUUGUCACUGUUGGGAAAUAUGUGACACCAAAUCACAUGGAUAUAAAUGGAAACGGCAUUGAGCCUGAUUUUCGAAAUCUUCCUGCUUGGUAUGAAGUCACCAAAUAUCUGUCCGAAUGUCAUAGGCGACAAGAAGGAUGAUAUUGUGACUAAUUAACCUUCUUGUAAGGGAUUAUUGGCUCGUCCUUGUACACUCGAUUCAUGGCUCAUGUCCGCAGCCACAGGCUUCAAUUAGGUAUUGGUUUAGCGAAGUACAAGAGAUUGGUGAAGAUAUAUUAGUAUUGUAUUGUUUGAUUCUUAAAGGAUAAAGUUGUUCUAUCAAACAGGUAAGGUUACAAAAUAUAGCUUUGGAAUCAGCUCUCUGUGCUGGAGAAUCUACAGGCUAAUGCCAUUUGUAACUGAAACAUUCCUGCUUUAUUUACUCAAAUAUUAGUAGAAAAAGUGCAAAAGCUCUAUUUGGCUAUGGC